RNAcentral lists this ribosomal RNA (1433 nucleotides) under uncultured organism. RNAcentral describes it as "partial small subunit ribosomal RNA". It matches the Rfam family "Bacterial small subunit ribosomal RNA". The record is from RNAcentral.
UGGACGAACGCUGGCGGCGUGCUUAACACAUGCAAGUCGAACGGAAAGGCCCUGCUUUUGUGGGGUGCUCGAGUGGCGAACGGGUGAGUAACACGUGAGUAACCUGCCCUUGACUUUGGGAUAACUUCAGGAAACUGGGGCUAAUACCGGAUAGGAGCUCCUGCUGCAUGGUGGGGGUUGGAAAGUUUCGGCGGUUGGGGAUGGACUCGCGGCUUAUCAGCUUGUUGGUGGGGUAGUGGCUUACCAAGGCUUUGACGGGUAGCCGGCCUGAGAGGGUGACCGGCCACAUUGGGACUGAGAUACGGCCCAGACUCCUACGGGAGGCAGCAGUGGGGAAUAUUGCACAAUGGGCGGAAGCCUGAUGCAGCAACGCCGCGUGCGGGAUGACGGCCUUCGGGUUGUAAACCGCUUUCGCCUGUGACGAAGCGUGAGUGACGGUAAUGGGUAAAGAAGCACCGGCUAACUACGUGCCAGCAGCCGCGGUGAUACGUAGGGUGCGAGCGUUGUCCGGAUUUAUUGGGCGUAAAGGGCUCGUAGGUGGUUGAUCGCGUCGGAAGUGUAAUCUUGGGGCUUAACCCUGAGCGUGCUUUCGAUACGGGUUGACUUGAGGAAGGUAGGGGAGAAUGGAAUUCCUGGUGGAGCGGUGGAAUGCGCAGAUAUCAGGAGGAACACCAGUGGCGAAGGCGGUUCUCUGGGCCUUUCCUGACGCUGAGGAGCGAAAGCGUGGGGAGCGAACAGGCUUAGAUACCCUGGUAGUCCACGCUGUAAACGGUGGGUACUAGGUGUGGGGUCCAUUCCACGGGUUCCGUGCCGUAGCUAACGCUUUAAGUACCCCGCCUGGGGAGUACGGCCGCAAGGCUAAAACUCAAAGGAAUUGACGGGGCCCCGCACAAGCGGCGGAGCAUGCGGAUUAAUUCGAUGCAACGCGUAGAACCUUACCUGGGUUUGACAUGGAUCGGGAGUGCUCAGAGAUGGGUGUGCCUCUUUUGGGGUCGGUUCACAGGUGGUGCAUGGCUGUCGUCAGCUCGUGUCGUGAGAUGUUGGGUUAAGUCCCGCAACGAGCGCAACCCUUGUUCACUGUUGCCAGCACGUUAUGGUGGGGACUCAGUGGAGACCGCCGGGGUCAACUCGGAGGAAGGUGGGGAUGACGUCAAGUCAUCAUGCCCCUUAUGUCCAGGGCUUCACGCAUGCUACAAUGGCUGGUACAGAGAGUGGCGAGCCUGUGAGGGUGAGCGAAUCUCGGAAAGCCGGUCUCAGUUCGGAUUGGGGUCUGCAACUCGACCUCAUGAAGUCGGAGUCGCUAGUAAUCGCAGAUCAGCAACGCUGCGGUGAAUACGUUCCCGGGGCUUGUACACACCGCCCGUCAAGUCAUGAAAGUUGGUAACACCCGAAGCCGGUGGCCUAACCGUUGUGGGGGAGCCGUCGAAGGUGGG